This 317-nucleotide unclassified non-coding RNA is filed under the name Hevea brasiliensis (rubber tree). Lineage: Eukaryota; Viridiplantae; Streptophyta; Magnoliopsida; Malpighiales; Euphorbiaceae. The record is from RNAcentral.
CGGCAAUGUUGCUGUGAAUAUAUGAAUUAGGGUUUUCUAUUGCGUAGCGGACGCCGGCUUGGGCGGCGAGGUGCAUGACGUGGGUGAACUGGCCGAUCUCGAAGAGCUUGGCGAGGAGGCGGGCGUCGUUGAGGUCGCCUUCGACGAGAUAGAUGGAGUGCGAGGAGAGGAGGGACUUGCGGGCUUUCUUGAGAGAGGGGUCGUAGUAGGAGUUGAAGCAGUCGAGACCUAGGACGCCGUCGCCGCGGCGCUUGAGGGCAGCGGCGACGUGAGUGCCGACGAAGCCGGCGGCACCGGUGACGAGGACGGUGUGGCGG